RNAcentral lists this ribosomal RNA (253 nucleotides) under uncultured bacterium. RNAcentral describes it as "partial 16S ribosomal RNA". It matches the Rfam family "Bacterial small subunit ribosomal RNA", at positions 524 to 776 of the family's 1533-position model. The record is from RNAcentral.
GACAGAGGGUGCAAACGUUGUUCGGAAUUACUGGGCGUAAAGCGUGUGUAGGCGGUCCACUAAGUCGGGUGUGAAAUCCCUGGGCUCAACCCAGGAAGUGCACUCGAAACUGGCGGGCUAGAGUAUCGGAGAGGUUGGUGGAAUUCUCGGUGUAGAGGUGAAAUUCGUAGAUAUCGAGAGGAACACCGGUGGCGAAGGCGGCCAACUGGACGAAUACUGACGCUGAGACACGAAAGCGUGGGGAGCAAACAGG